AAACAGGAAGCAUCCCUUUUUCCCCAUUCACCUCCUCUGGAGGCAAGAUGUGAGCCACCUGCAAGGAGGGACGCCAAUAAGGCACCCGAUAAGAUAAGUCUUAUAAAAUAUAUAGAUGUAUGAUAAUUGAGACUGAGCUAACGGAUGAGAAUCCUAGUCAUUGAACAAGCAGUAUUGUACCUAAUACAAGUUUCUGUGUAUUCAUUUGGGCCCUAACUCAGGCGGGGGCUGGUAAAAAGCUUCCACGUGGUGGUGGGGCUCAGCGGCUUUUGGCAAAAAGAUUUAUCAUAACAGAAUGGUGUCAGUGAGCAGGAUCACCACAUGUGCCAAGGUUCCCAGAGAAAGGGGUAAACCUGCCACCACAGCCUGCCCUGUGGGGACACUGAGAGAAAAUCAAAAGCUGUUGAUUCCUUCCAAACUAAUAUGGUUUGACCAAGCAAGACCCCCUGAAGCUGAGAUGAUACAGCCUUACAGACUACAAAAACAAGGACUUGGUCAGGUUUCUAUGCUUCUUUCCCAAAACCCUAUGGAAAAACAAUCCCUUGUCCUGGAUGUGACCCUGUACUAUAUGCAAAUGGGGAUGUGGUGGAAGACUAAGAGAAUUCCUCUACCUACAAUGACUGCCAUUAUCAUCCUUGUACAGUGACUGAGAAGCAGCUUCAGGAAUUCUACAUCUAUGGGUGUGGUCAGAUGGG
This 695-nucleotide long non-coding RNA is filed under the name Cricetulus griseus (Chinese hamster). RNAcentral's name for it is "lncRNA (ENSCGRG00015037027.1)". The record is from RNAcentral. Lineage: Eukaryota; Metazoa; Chordata; Mammalia; Rodentia; Cricetidae.